AGGGGCCAAUGAGAACUUUGGGGCCAGCAAAGAAGAUCUGAGAUGGAGGCUGAGCACUAACCAUUGUGUCCAUGUUCUAUUUUGGCAGCAGGAGACACGGAAGGCAGGAAAGAAGAGAAGCAACAAUGACAAAAAAGAAACAUGAUCUCAGCUGCCCACUGAUCUCCUCUUGCAGGUGGAUGUGUAAAGGAAGUGAGAAACCAACGUGAAAAGAUGUCUUUCAGCUUCAAUAAUUGAGCAGUUUUCUACAACUACUAAUAUUCUGCAUUAAAAACUCAAACAGUCUUUUUGUCAGAAAGAGAACAGAAAUGUGACCUCUGAAUAGCACAACUUGUAGAGACCUCAGGAAUCGCACAGAUCCUUUCUCAUCCAGUGGAGAAAAAUCUGUGGGCUUCUGUACUUCAUUUCCAUUCAAAAAAGAUUACAAAUAAGGUAUAAAACUCAAGAGCUUUUCUAGAGGCAUGGAGAGAGGAUUAUGUAAGGUAGAGUAUCAAACACCAGCAGCUGCACUAAUUGUAAAAAUCAUGAAUCAUUUUAAUAGAAUUUCCUUCCAGUUUGAAUUGUUUCAUACACAUAUAAAUGUCAACUUUAGGAAAUGUUGAGACAAUGGAAAAUCAAUGCGUGACAACAACAACAACAAAAAGAUUUAUGUAGUUAUCAGAUAACUACAUGACUUUUUGUCAUGUUCUGUAGCCAGUGAGGUGGAAUUGGGAACAACACAGAUCUUGAAAGAAACCCCUUAUCCCUUCUGCUAAAGGAUGAAGUAUAAUUAACUAUACUAGCCUAAGUAUCUGGCUAAAAAUACAGGGUAAGGAAGUUUCAUUGAUCUAAUUCCUAACAAGUAGAAAUUUGGUAGCAUCUUUAUCUUAACAAAAAUGUUUAAUUUUGUUUGUAUUCUUUGCUUGCAUUUAUUGGUUAGUUUUAUUUAAUAUUGAAAAGGCUGUUAAAGGUGUUUUUUAGUCACACAGAUCAGAACCAGUUGCAAAGUACAUGUAAGGUGAUCUUGAAGUAACAAAGAUGCUAAGUUAGUAUAUCUGUGAAUAAGCAAUUUAAUAAUUUGUCUGUACCAGCCUCAGGCUCUCUCCCAAGUUGUGUGCUACCUCCUCUAAGGAGUUUGUUCUUUAUGCAAAAAUUAAAAAAUAUAAUACAAAUAAUAUUCCAUUCUGGUUCUUCUUAUCCUAAAAUAUUAUCUUACUCUUGAUCACUAACUUUCUCACUAAAGAUUUAAAGAAAUUGUAAUUAUUUUAAUUGCCACCUAAUCACCCUUCUAAUCCUUAACGCUCUUGCUUUUUUAAAAAGUUUCAAAUACAAUACGACUCUCUCAUUCCCACCCCCACUGUAAAAGCAAUUUUAUAAUCACACAGACCUGACCUGUGUGAUUUUUGCUCUUCCUCUUCAAGAGACUGUUUGGCCUUCACAAAUUUCCUUAAUUGUCUAAGUCUUGAUUUUCUCAUCUAUAAAUGGUCAUAAUAUCACUUUCUUAAAAUAGAGGUUAUUGAGCUAAGUAUACACAUAGUUAGUUAUGCAGUACAAUUUUGGCAAGGGUUGAGUGUUCAAUCCAAGUUAUUAUUUAAAUAAUUAUAAAUAGUAAUGUUAUUAUACAUACUGUUAAGUAACAAUAAGUUAGAUACAAUUGAAAGUGAUUCUGAACACACAAGCUUCUUUCCGCUGUUCCUCUUAAUUCUCCAGGGCUCUUCUAGACACUUUGAGGUUCACUUGAUUAUACCCUCCUGGAUUUGUUUGUGGCCUACUAAUGUUAACAUCAGUUCUCCUCAUUUACUAAGGCCUUGUGAGGUAAAUGGAAGCUUGCACCCGAAUUUCCUGCCCUAUUUGUUUAUCAAUAGGCCAUGCAGUGCUGCAGCUGGGACAAGGGGUGGAGAAAAAACAACCAUUGUCUCCUCCCCUCAGUUCCAGGUCUGUAAUUGGUCUGGAAUUUGCCAGUCAUCAAGGACCCGCCUAUGGAGUUUCUCCCAAAGGGGCCCAAGGGGAAAGCGGGUGGGCACCAUGGCCAUAGGGGAUGAUCAGAGCAAGCGCUGUCUAGAGAACCCAAGUGAGCUGUGAGCAAAAAUAAAACUUUUCUCUCAACCUGCCGUUUCCCUUGUCUUACUUUGGUUUCCCGGGAUUCACUGAAACUUGCCCUGAGUGGGAACCCCCUGGGGCUACAGCCUUUUCUACAAGACAUCUCUCCAAACUCUUUCCAGAAUCCCUAAAAUCUGCAGAAGGCACAAGCUAACCCAUUCUUAACCCUAGAUUCCUCUUUAAAAUAAUGUGCCAAGUAAUUGUUAGGGAGGAAGAAAUUUCCUCUAACCCUCAAGGUUUAUCCUGCUGGUCUAAGAAUCAAAUUGACACGAAACAGAUCAGCAGGAUGGAAACCAAAGUUUACUUAUGUACAGGGCAGCUGCAGACAUGAGUUCCCAAGACACUUGGGAAGAAUGAGAUCUAUAUGUCAUCCUGAAUCAAGAAGAAGGGGUAGAUGUCUGAGACUCCAAAGGAAAAGAGAAGUAAUUCGUAGGAAUAUGAAAAGAGUAAAUGUCUGGUAAACAAAAUACUUAAUGGGCCACACAAGUAAUGAUGGGGCACAGAGAGAAAUUUUAGCAGAUUUUGUCAUAUCCUUCCUAUCACCCCUAGUUUGCAUUAUGGCAUAGCUGUCUGUGGUGAUAGCUCUCCUCCUAGAGCAGUUCCUCCAUCUAAAUUCUUUUUAUGCAGUUUGGGGUGAGGGUGUCUAUGUUCCCGAGUCUUUUGGGCCUUGGUGGUUAUCAGUUCAGAAUAUUCCUCAUAUCAAAGUGGUACAUUUUGGGGCAGCCUGCCAUUGGUCCCUACAUAAUCAACCCCAAUCAACCUGAACAACUCAUCAGCAAGGCCUUACAUUAAAACAGAUUUUAUAUAUAUCUUAUACUACACUAUGAUGAUAUUCCCCAUUAGCCAAUUUUCUCAUCCAUUUCCUUCUCUUAAACAGGUUUGAACUUAUCUUGAUCUCUCCUUCUUCUCCUACCUGUAUAUCCUCCUUUACUCACUCCCUUCUCAUGGAUUAAUCCCCUUGACUCAUGAUGCUAAUAAUGUUUCUAGUAGAACAUUCUAUUUUCUCAUGUAUUUUCCAUUUAUUUCUUCUAUAUGUAUCUUGUUCAAAACCCACAACCUUAUUAUUUCCAGUUAAAAAAAAAUUAUGUUGUUUGAGUUUCUGUAAACCAGCUUUUCUUAAAUGUUUUUCAAACAUUUUAACCACUCUCAAAUAUUUCUCAAGCAACUUUACAGUAGAUUCGUGGUCUUGCUUGUCUUGUUGGUUUGCUUUAAACAUCAUUUUCAAUAUUUUGUUUGAGUUUUGAACACAGCUGGAAAACAUAUCUCUAGCCAACCUUUAUUUUUUAUUCAUUACAGGAGUCAAUUAAGCUUUGCACUACACUUCUACCCGAUUCAAACAUUCUUUGACCAGAUGAUCUUGUUAUCUACUAUGGAGAAGGAAUUGAAGCUAUCUGUCAUGAAUUCCCUUAACUACUUCCUCCACCAAUAAAUUUCCUCUCUCCUCUUUCCCUUCAGUUUAAGUGGAAUUGAUGUAUGUCUUCUAAACCACACUUAAUUGUUUUACCUCUGCUCUUGUCUGAGUGGGCCUAGCACCAUCAGCUCUCUUUAGUGGCAUCAACGUUUUUCUCCUGAAUCUUUGUCAUAAAUAUAUAAUAAUACUUAAGUCUUUGCUAUCUAAAAAACUAAGCUAACAAAACCAUCAAACUCUCUAUUGAGAGUUAAAUUCCAACAAUGAUGCAUCUGUCUUUUAACUUUACAAGUCAAGUUUCUUGAAAUAAUGCUUUAUGCUCACCAACUUUACUUUCUCACUUUUUGCAUAUCCAUCCAUCUGGCUUCAGCAUUUAUUUCACUCUGAAACUGCUCUUAUAUAGGCCAACAGGCCAGAUGGUACUGAAAACAUAUACUAUAAAGCUGGUAAUGCUGAGAAAAAUCUAACUGAGAUUUUUUACAUUUUUAAGAGAGGUGUUAAGACUAUCAGAAUCAAAAACAUUAUAAAAGAUCACUUUCUAUUUCAAAGGCAAUACUGGAAAAAUUCAAAGUUUCCAAUGUGGAUCAAUCUCAUGUAUUCAAUAUCUACUCCAUACUAUGUUUAGGAUUUUGGGUUUUUUAAUUUUUGUACAUCUGGCUGCAUGGUUGAAAAUUUGUUUACUUUAUCUUAUUUCAAUGAAAGACAGGUAGAGACAGAAUUAAAAUACAGCAUCAGUUAAAAUAAUUAUCAAAGUUAUACAUGGCCAUAAUUCCCCGAUCUGAAGUUUUAAGAGUGUUAUGAUAAAUGAUCUUGCAAUGCAAGGAGUGACGGUGAUUCUAGGAAAGCUAUGCCGAUCUCACUCCAAAGAGCACUUAAUUGAUGCAGAUCUGGCUUUGUUGAUGGGAUACAGACAUAUGUUUUUAUAAAACUCUUUUCAUAUGUAAAUUUGAAAAAUAUUUUAAGGCUACUUAUAAGUAUGUACACACUCAUAUAUUUCUAGGCAGAAUAAAUUGGUGCUGCAUUUCUUGAAGGAAAUUUUUCAAUAAAUAUCAAACAUCUCACUAAAUAGCUUUGGUUUUAAUAGAACAAUAAUAUUUUGGUAAGGUAUUUGUUUAUAAUAGUGAAAAUUGAAAACAGCCUAGAAUCCAUCUGUAGGUGGUGUCCUAAGUAAAUGUGCAUACAUAAAAUAGCAUAACUGGAGGCUAUUAAAAUACCAAUAUAUAUACUACUUAGAAAAUAUGUCACCUAAAGAUUUAAGUGACAUGUUGACAUGAAACAGUAUACAUCACAGGAUUCCAAUUUUGUAAAUCAUAUUUACAUUACACCUGAAUCUAUACUGAAAAAGGAGUCUGGAAGAAUUUAUAGUUAUUGAUCCUGCUUAAUUUUUGGUGGUGGAAUUAUGAAUAAUUUUUGCUUUUUGUGUAGCUAAGUAGUCUAAUUCUUAAAUAAAACACAAUAUAUUGAUAUAGGAAAAUUAUAGGAGACAAUACUAGAAUUGUUACUUCCUUUCAAUCUCCUGAUCAUACAUAAGCAAAUGACUGGAGAAAUUAAUCUAAUAAAGAGAUGGAUUCUACAUAGGACCAUGUCUCAGAGGAGAAUCUAUCAAACUAAUACAUUUCACAGGUGGUGAUACAUAAAUUAUGCUAGAAGCUACAACAGAUUUCCAGUCCAGAUGUGAUUCAAACAUUGUAAUUAGCAACAUGGCUUAAAAGUCAUUGGAUCAAUAUUUCCAGUAAUUAGGGCUGAUAUCUAUGUCUAUCUGUGUUGGAGUUACUCAAAGAAUGGACAUACCAUCCAAAUGGGGCCUUUCCAAGAUCUUCAAACUACUCUGUUAUGUGAGAAUUUCCCAGAGAUACAUAAAAGAAAUGACUUUCCCUGAAAUUGUGAGGCAACCAACAGGCUAAAUAACCACUAGGACAAGUCCAGUUUGGCGAACAAAUGAGUUUUAUUAAGGGGUCAUUUAACAAAGCUGUGGAUGGCAUUAGGUUGGCUACUGUACCGAAAUUGCCACCCCCCACCCAUUAGGUUGGAAUUUUUCAGGGAACAGUAAAGGGUGCUUGCAGGGUAAAUGAAUUUUUCACCCAGAAUUUCCUGCUUGCCUUUGUCCCUUUACAUACCAAUGGAUGUUUACCAUAGCACAGACUCCAGUGGAUCUGGGGCAAGGGUGGAGAGAAAACAGCCAUUCUCUUCUCCCUUCUGUUCCUGGUACCUAAUUGGUCUGGUGCCUGUCAGUCACUACAGACCCGCCCAUGGAGUUCCUGUGGGAAGGGGUGGGCAUGGGGAGCAGAUCUGUCUUGCCACAACCAAAGGGAACAGUUGGUGAGGAGCCUGGCUAGCCAACCCAAGCAAGCUGUACAAAACAGCCUUUCUCCCAGCCUGCCCUUUCCCUGACUUACUUCCCUGGAUUCACAGGGAACUUCUGGGAGGCGAACCCCCUUACUCCAGAGCUACAGUCCUACAUGCAGGAAAGCAUGUUCCUCCCUCUUGAGUUUCAGCAGACUUGGUAAACGUUCUUGCAGUCCUUGGGUCUCACACUAGCAUUAUGAGGG
Long non-coding RNA from Manis pentadactyla (Chinese pangolin), 6036 nucleotides. RefSeq lists it as uncharacterized. The transcript has 4 exons. Lineage: Eukaryota; Metazoa; Chordata; Mammalia; Pholidota; Manidae. The record is from RefSeq and is a predicted model, not a curated record.